RNAcentral lists this ribosomal RNA (253 nucleotides) under uncultured bacterium. Its description in RNAcentral is "partial 16S ribosomal RNA". It matches the Rfam family "Bacterial small subunit ribosomal RNA", at positions 524 to 776 of the family's 1533-position model. The record is from RNAcentral.
UACAGAGGUCUCAAGCGUUGUUCGGAAUCACUGGGCGUAAAGGGUGCGUAGGUGGCUGAGUAAGUCAGAUGUGAAAGCCCCGAGCUCAACUUGGGAACUGCAUUUGAAACUGCACGGCUAGAGUACUUAAGAGGAAUGCAGAAUUCUCAGUGUAGCAGUGAAAUGCGUAGAUAUUGAGAGGAAUACCAAUGGCGUAGGCAGCAUUCUGGGAAGUUACUGACACUGAGGCACGAAGGCUAGGGGAGCGAACGGG